UACAGAGGUCUCAAGCGUUGUUCGGAUUUAUUGGGCGUAAAGGGCGCGCAGGCGGCUACGCACGUCCGUUGUGAAAUCGCUCGGCUCAACUGGGCGGGGUCAGCGGAUACGGCGUGGCUGGAGCAAGCUAGGGGGCAAUGGAAUUCCCGGUGUAGUGGUGGAAUGCGUAGAUAUCGGGAGGAACACCAGUGGCGAAGGCGGUUGCCUGGAGCUUUGCUGACGCUGAGGCGCGAAAGCGUGGGUAGCAAACAGG
This 253-nucleotide ribosomal RNA is filed under the name uncultured bacterium. RNAcentral's name for it is "partial 16S ribosomal RNA". It matches the Rfam family "Bacterial small subunit ribosomal RNA", at positions 524 to 776 of the family's 1533-position model. The record is from RNAcentral.